CUUAACUAAUUUAGUUCCAAACAAAAAUCAUAGUUUCCUAACUAAACAACACAAGUGGCAGGAUUUAUUCUCAGCCAUUGAUUGUAUAUGCCAUUUCAACGGUCUGGAUUCACAGUCACAAAUCUUGACAAGAUAGAUAUCUAUCUUCAAUUACCACCCUUGGAUCAAUUCUUUUCCUUUUCACAUUAAUGUUCCAGAUUAAAAAAAAUUUAUUUAUCAUCCUCUUUUCUUUUCUAUUUCAUCAUCUUCUUCUUAGCUGACAUUUUUUUUCCAAAUUCCAGAAAAACGACAAACCGCUGCCAUAACAGAGAUGAGGACAUAGAUGACGGCGGUGAUGGGGACGAGGAUGAAGACAUUGAAGAUGCAUGAGAGAGGAUGAAGAGGACACAAGUGAUUUGGUGUAGAAGAAUUGAUGAAACAAAAGAGAGGAAUUGGUGAAGAAGAGCAAGAGAGCGAUAGAUGUGAGAAACUUCUAAAGAGGUAGUUUUCAAGGAACUGUCAAAAACACAGCUCAAACAUAAACAAAAAUAUAUCUUUAUAGUUUUUAGAUUUGGAGUCACGAGAUCUGAAUCACUGGCUGAAAUUCAUGUAAGUAUUAUGGAGUAAGAAGUAGUAGCUUAAUUUCUUGAAUAAUAUAUUCACCACUUUUCAAUUUAUGUGUUUGAGUAUGUUUUCGUUUGUUUUUCAUGUUUUGAGAUGUAAUGUGGUUGAGGAUGACUUUUAUA
This is a long non-coding RNA of Raphanus sativus (radish), 725 nucleotides long. RefSeq lists it as uncharacterized. The transcript is spliced from 2 exons. The record is from RefSeq and is a predicted model, not a curated record. Lineage: Eukaryota; Viridiplantae; Streptophyta; Magnoliopsida; Brassicales; Brassicaceae.